CUUAAACGUUCUCACAAUAGCAAAAGUCACUCUGGCUAGUAACUGGAAGAGCACACAAAUCCCCAUUGGAGGUGGCCAUCAGCAACAAACUAGACACAAUUAGCUCUUAUGAGCGGAUGGCAUGUAGACUAAACUGCUGUAUGGGUACAUAUGACCGUGACUGGAGCAGUUGGACUCCCAGGCGGUAAGACCAUGCUCUGUGACCGAC
Non-coding RNA from Pelobates cultripes (western spadefoot toad), 208 nucleotides. NCBI's taxonomy places the organism in Eukaryota, Metazoa, Chordata, Amphibia, Anura, Pelobatidae. The record is from the annotation of a GenBank genome assembly.